GGACAGAAUCACUUUGCAUUAUAUCAAGGACCAAAAAUGUGCCACGUCAUAAAUUAACCCACUUAACCCAAACCACACUUAACUACACUUAAACUAGAGGCCCUUUAACUCAAUCGGACAAACCAGAGUUUCUCUCUCACCAAACCCAUCUGAACAUUUCAAAUUCAAGCUCUCUUUCUCACUCUCUUCUCCAAGGUUCUCUCUCGCCCCGCCGUCACGGUGCCCUAACUUUUUAACUUAGCUCCUCGCUCACCACACAGAUUGAAAUCCCUAACCCACAAACUCAGCUCCUUGCUCUCAUGGAUUCAAGCUCGAUCCCUCACCCACAAACUCAGCUCCUCGCUCACCUCACACUGCGGGUUUCCUCUAUCUCUCACACGGCCUCUCACAUUCACACACACAACCCCGCCGGCGCCGACGAGCAGAGCUGAGCCUAGCUCUGACUUGUCGAGUCGAGCCUAGCCCAGCCCAGCGACGACGCCAAUGAGGCUGAGCCCAGCCAUCGACUCCUCCCCUCCCAUACCCAUCGGCUCUCUCUACCGUCGACUUAUACCCAUCAGCUCACUCUCUCUCACCACAAGAUCCUUUCUCCCUCUCUCCCCUUGCCACCCCUAUACCCAUUCAUUUUUCCUCACCAUACCCAUACCCAUACCCAUCCCGAUUUUGCUUGAGUGAUUCAGAAAUUGUUGAUGCUAAGCCUCUUGUGCUUUCAAGAGGAACAUUGCAGACUGCUGAUUCAAAGGAACCAUUUGCAAGAAAAUGAGUUGGAGCAGCCUAACCUUGAAAAAGGUCUAAAGACGGGUACAAGUAUUGUUUAAGAAAUCAAGUGCAAGCUUUAUGCGAAGUUCCAUGCACUAAUUUUUGCCCAUUUGUUUAGAAGAAAAGGUUUUGAAGUAUCCCAUGACUGAUUGAAAAAAAAUGUACCUUGAAGUUAGCAAUGCAAAAUUCGCUAAUUUUCAGUUUAACUAUUGAUAGAGAUUUGAUAUAAUCUAGCUUGUAGGGCAACUUAGACAUUUAUUUGCGAAGUUUGUAGCAAAUUUUUGAUAUUUUUUGUAAUUGGCUUAGAAGAUACCUGAAGAUGUUGGUUUUGUGUGUGCAUGUUUGAAUAUUUGUUUAGUUAAACAGUGAUCAUAUAUGUAAUAUAUUAUUAACAUUAUGAAAAUACGUUUAAUGAA
This is a long non-coding RNA of Quercus robur (English oak), 1175 nucleotides long. RefSeq lists it as uncharacterized. The transcript has 3 exons. Lineage: Eukaryota; Viridiplantae; Streptophyta; Magnoliopsida; Fagales; Fagaceae. The record is from RefSeq and is a predicted model, not a curated record.